GGGGCUGCUUGGUUUUGACAGCUCGUAUGUGGGAAUGUAAGCAUGCCGGACGUUGUAAGCAGGUUCCGUAACAGCCAACUUUCAUGCCAAAUAAAUGGCGAAAACAACAACUUUGCUCUCGCUGCCUAGCCAUAGCUAACGCACGAAGCUGUCUCCCCGGAAGUCUCUCUUCCCGACGUCCGGACCGAGGCAUCGGAAAGGGGAAGAUAGGUGACGUCGGCCUCGCGCCGUUGCCGAAAUCUUAAGAGGAUAAGCCGGUCGCCGGUAUAGCCUUGUACCAUCCUCCGGACGAAAACCAAUUCAAGGAUAAGCAUGUAGAAAGCGUUUUUGCAGCGUGUUUGGACGAGGGUUCGACUCCCUCCAGCUCCACU
RNAcentral lists this transfer-messenger RNA (371 nucleotides) under bovine gut metagenome. It matches the Rfam family "transfer-messenger RNA". From Rfam's summary of the family: Bacterial tmRNA, also known as 10Sa RNA or SsrA, is named for its dual tRNA and mRNA-like properties. The record is from RNAcentral.